RNAcentral lists this long non-coding RNA (985 nucleotides) under Homo sapiens (human). Its description in RNAcentral is "novel transcript". Lineage: Eukaryota; Metazoa; Chordata; Mammalia; Primates; Hominidae. The record is from RNAcentral.
UAUUUGCAGUCUGUCAAUUUGCCUGUUUAAAAAUAAAAUAUCCAGUGAUCAGCAUGAGUGGGUAUAAUGGAAACAAAUAAGACACAGAUUAUGAACUCCGUCCUCCAAGGACUUACAGAUCUUCUAGAGCUGCAGGCGCCCUUGUUCCUGGUGUUCCUGGUGAUCUACCUUAUCACCACGGUGGGCAACCGUGGCCUGAUGGCUCUCAUCUGGAAGGAUCCCCACUUUCACACCCCCAUGUGCUUAUCCCUCGGCAGUUUAGCCUUUGCAGAUGCAUGCACUUCAUCUUCUGUGACUCCCAAGAUGUUCGUACAUUUUUUAUCUAAGAAUCAUAUGAUAUCCCUGGUUGGGUGCAUGAUCCAGUUUUAUAUUUUUGCUUCCGGUGCAAACACAGGAAGUUUCCUCCUGGUAGUGAUGGCCUAUGACUGUUAUAUGGCCAUAUGUAACCCUUUGCUUUAUCCUCUAGUGAUGUCCAAUACCUUCUGCAUUCAAUUAUCAGGUGUUUCAUUUAUUAUUGUUUUUUUCAUCCUAUAACGCAUGUGGGUUUGUUAUUUCAAUUAACUUUCUGCAAGUCCAAUGUAAUACAUUAUUUCUACUGUGAUAUUUUACAACUGUUUAAAAUUUCCUGUACUGACCCUGGAGUAAUAUGCUCCUGGUUUUUGUAUUUUCAGUCUUUAUACAAUCUUUCACUUUUAUGACUAUCAUCGUCUCUUACUCCUAUGUCCUCUUGGCCAUCCUGAAAAAGAAGUCUGAGAAGGGUAGAAGGAAAGCUUUCUCCACUUGCAGUGCCCAUCUGCUUUCUGUCUCUUUGUUCUAUGGCACUCUCUUCUUCAUGUAUGUGUGUCCUGGGUCUGGAUCAGCUGCAGAUCAGGACAAAAUAUAUUCUUUAUUUUACAUGAUAAUAAUUCCUCUGGUAAAUCCUUUUAUUUACAGUCUGAGGAAUAAAGAGGUCAUAGGUGCAUUGAAGAGAAUAAUAAAUAAAUAA